Molecule: non-coding RNA, 45 nt
Filed under: Schistosoma mattheei
Lineage: Eukaryota; Metazoa; Platyhelminthes; Trematoda; Strigeidida; Schistosomatidae
Source: RNAcentral
AUCCAUCUGACGAGUCUCAAAUAGGACGAAACGCGCAUCCUGAAU